Molecule: long non-coding RNA, 390 nt
Organism: Zonotrichia leucophrys gambelii
Lineage: Eukaryota; Metazoa; Chordata; Aves; Passeriformes; Passerellidae
Exons: 2
Source: RefSeq, a predicted model, not a curated record
UGAGGGACAGCUGAUUUCAAAACAUUUCUGUAGGGCUGUUGAGGAGGAAUGGUCACAUGCCAAAGGCUCCAAAGCACAGUCAGUUUGCAUUUUGUAAUCAGCAUGCCACUGGCUGAGACUUGGGCUCAGCCUGUAACCUGACCUGGGAUACCUCAGUUUGCAGAGGCCCCAGAGAUCUUAAUCCUCCUGAAUUAAAAGGUACCCACAGGAACACAGACUACAGAGCCUUUUCAGCCAUGGGAACAGCCAUUUUCCAGCUUAUGGCUUCUGAUGAAAGCCAGUUACAAGCAUUAGGAUGGAUGCACUCCAAUCCAGUGUUGUGUGGAUUAUGGAUCCCACUGUAAACAAGCCAGCUCAUAGUAAGAAAUGCAAGGAACAUUUGCCCUGAAA